GAUGAACGCUGGCGGCGUGCCUAAUACAUGCAAGUCGAGCGAACAGACGAGGAGCUUGCUCCUUUGACGUUAGCGGCGGACGGGUGAGUAACACGUGGGUAACCUACCUAUAAGACUGGGAUAACUUCGUGAAACCGGAGCUAAUACCGGAUAAUAUUUCGAACCGCAUGGUUCGAUAGUGAAAGAUGGCUUUGCUAUCACUUAUAGAUGGACCUGCGCCGUAUUAGCUAGUUGGUAAGGUAACGGCUUACCAAGGCAACGAUACGUAGCCGACCUGAGAGGGUGAUCGGCCACACUGGAACUGAGACACGGUCCAGACUCCUACGGGAGGCAGCAGUAGGGAAUCUUCCGCAAUGGGCGAAAGCCUGACGGAGCAACGCCGCGUGAGUGAUGAAGGUCUUCGGAUCGUAAAACUCUGUUAUUAGGGAAGAACAAACGUGUAAGUAACUGUGCACGUCUUGACGGUACCUAAUCAGAAAGCCACGGCUAACUACGUG
RNAcentral lists this ribosomal RNA (497 nucleotides) under uncultured bacterium. RNAcentral's name for it is "partial 16S ribosomal RNA". It matches the Rfam family "Bacterial small subunit ribosomal RNA", at positions 28 to 507 of the family's 1533-position model. The record is from RNAcentral.